Molecule: long non-coding RNA, 505 nt
Filed under: Macaca nemestrina (pig-tailed macaque)
Lineage: Eukaryota; Metazoa; Chordata; Mammalia; Primates; Cercopithecidae
Description: lncRNA (ENSMNEG00000045594.1)
Source: RNAcentral
UUUUGAAAAAGUCCAAUUAAAAUUUUUUACCACCCCUCCUCCAUUAGAUAAGAAGCCAUUUGAUAGUAAGGACAAUAUCUAAUGCUGCAUAUAUAAAGCUUCAAAAAUAUUGGUUAAAUCAAUUGCCAGAGACGGAAAUGGGAAAGUUCCAGUUGUCCAGCAUGUAAUUUGAUAUGACCGUUGGUGUGUCUUCAGCAAGUAGAAGGGUAAAUUAAUGAAGCAAGUCACUAAAAAUUGCAUGUUCUAUUAACUAAUGAGAUGACCACAAAGAGAAGAAAAUUCAAUAGCUAAGGCAGACAAGAAAACGCAUGACCUAAAGCCAACAUAAGAGAGUCGAGUAUGAGGGUACAUUUGUGAUCUCAAAGCUUCUGUGGAAGUCAAUGCUAUGUGCGGUAUUUUUUUCCAGAAGUUCCAUUCCCCAGAGGUUAUUCAGUCUAUACUUUUUCAGUGUACGUCUCUCAAGGCUGGUUGUUUCGGGAAUGAAAUAAGUACAUCUUGGAUGUAA